RNAcentral lists this transfer RNA (68 nucleotides) under Lucilia eximia. Its description in RNAcentral is "tRNA-Trp". It matches the Rfam family "tRNA". Rfam says of the family: Transfer RNA (tRNA) molecules are approximately 80 nucleotides in length. Their secondary structure includes four short double-helical elements and three loops (D, anti-codon, and T loops). Further hydrogen bonds mediate the characteristic L-shaped molecular structure. tRNAs have two regions of fundamental functional importance: the anti-codon, which is responsible for specific mRNA codon recognition, and the 3' end, to which the tRNAs corresponding amino acid is attached (by aminoacyl-tRNA synthetases). tRNAs cope with the degeneracy of the genetic code in two manners: having more than one tRNA (with a specific anti-codon) for a particular amino acid; and 'wobble' base-pairing, i.e. permitting non-standard base-pairing at the 3rd anti-codon position. RNAcentral also lists the same sequence under 1 other name. Lineage: Eukaryota; Metazoa; Arthropoda; Insecta; Diptera; Calliphoridae. The record is from RNAcentral.
AAGGCUUUAAGUUAAUUAAACUAAUAGCCUUCAAAGCUAUAAAUAUAAGAAUAGUCUUUUAAGCCUUA